Molecule: unclassified non-coding RNA, 27 nt
Filed under: Escherichia coli K-12
Lineage: Bacteria; Pseudomonadati; Pseudomonadota; Gammaproteobacteria; Enterobacterales; Enterobacteriaceae
Description: RNA (27-MER) from Escherichia coli K-12 (PDB 6GSJ, chain 4K)
Source: RNAcentral
GGCAAGGAGGUAAAAAUGACCAAAAAA